GGGAGGUAAGGUAGUGUAGUUAACACCUGCAUUAUUUGACGUUACCUACAGAAGAAGCACCGGCUAACUCCGUGCCAGCAGCCGCGGUAAUACGGAGGGUGCGAGCGUUAAUCGGAAUUACUGGGCGUAAAGCGCAUGCAGGCGGCCUGUUAAGUCAGAUGUGAAAGCCCCGGGGCUUAACCUCGGAAUUGCAUUUGAAACUGGCAGGCUAGAGUCUUGUAGAGGGGGUAGAAUUUCAGGUGUAGCGGUGAAAUGCGUAGAGAUCUGAAGGAAUACCAGUGGCGAAGGCGGCCCCCUGGACAAAGACUGACGCUCAGAUGCGAAAGCGUGGGGAGCAAACAGGAUUAGAUACCCUGGUAG
This 360-nucleotide ribosomal RNA is filed under the name uncultured bacterium. RNAcentral's name for it is "bacterial SSU rRNA". It matches the Rfam family "Bacterial small subunit ribosomal RNA", at positions 442 to 793 of the family's 1533-position model. The record is from RNAcentral.